UUUAAGCAUUAUUCAUCAUAAACCCCCUGUUAACUUUUAAUCAUUCAUUUCCUUUUGUGUCAUAACUCGGUAUGAUUGUGUGAAUUGCAAGAUGUGCAAUAAAACUAAGUUUGGGGUGGAAAUCUUGAAAGAGAAGGCAAGUGCAUAAUAUGAGAUCAUACAAAAAGAAAAAUAGUAUGUAUUUUCUUUAAAAGAAAAAAAAAGAAAAAAAAAGAAAAGAAAAACAAAAGAGAAAAAUGCACUUGCCGAGACCUAAGACUCUAACAGAUAUAAAAUGCUCGGAAAAUUUGAGUAGAAAAAGAGUCAAAAGAGUGAAAUUAACCCCCAGAGUAUACGUGAUGCACAAAAAAAAAAGAGAAAGAAAAAUCACACAACAUGACUACCGAGUUCAAAACCCUUUGUUAUCCAAUUUUUUUUGUUUAUCCCACCGUACCCAAGCCCCGUUACAACCUAAAAAGACCUCAAAAAGUGUGUGGAAUCUGCUGUGGUAGUGAC
RNAcentral lists this long non-coding RNA (495 nucleotides) under Lathyrus oleraceus (garden pea). RNAcentral's name for it is "Pisum sativum (pea) long non-coding RNA (PSAT_LNC021317)". The record is from RNAcentral. Lineage: Eukaryota; Viridiplantae; Streptophyta; Magnoliopsida; Fabales; Fabaceae.